UACGUAGGGUGCGAGCGUUAAUCGGAAUUACUGGGCGUAAAGCGUGCGCAGGCGGCUUUUUAAGCCAGACGUGAAAUCCCCGGGCUUAACCUGGGAAUGGCGUUUGGAACUGGAAGGCUAGAGUGUGUCAGAGGGGGGUAGAAUUCCACGUGUAGCAGUGAAAUGCGUAGAUAUGUGGAGGAAUACCGAUGGCGAAGGCAGCCCCCUGGGUCGAUACUGACGCUCAUGCACGAAAGCGUGGGGAGCAAACAGG
Molecule: ribosomal RNA, 253 nt
Filed under: uncultured bacterium
Lineage: Bacteria
Description: partial 16S ribosomal RNA
Rfam family: Bacterial small subunit ribosomal RNA
Source: RNAcentral